This 468-nucleotide ribosomal RNA is filed under the name uncultured bacterium. RNAcentral's name for it is "partial 16S ribosomal RNA". It matches the Rfam family "Bacterial small subunit ribosomal RNA", at positions 28 to 507 of the family's 1533-position model. The record is from RNAcentral.
GACGAACGCUGGCGGCGUGCUUAACACAUGCAAGUCGAACGGAAAGGCCCUGCUUUUGUGGGGUGCUCGAGUGGCGAACGGGUGAGUAACACGUGAGUAACCUGCCCUUGACUUUGGGAUAACUUCAGGAAACUGGGGCUAAUACCGGAUAGGAGCUCCUGCUGCAUGGUGGGGGUUGGAAAGUUUCGGCGGUUGGGGAUGGACUCGCGGCUUAUCAGCUUGUUGGUGGGGUAGUGGCUUACCAAGGCUUUGACGGGUAGCCGGCCUGAGAGGGUGACCGGCCACAAUGGGACUGAGAUACGGCCCAGACUCCUACGGGAGGCAGCAGUGGGGAAUAUUGCACAGUGGGCGGAAGCCUGAUGCAGCAACGCCGCGUGCGGGAAGACGGCCUUCGGGUUGUAAACCGCUGUCGCCUGUGACGAGGCGUGAGUGACGGUAAUGGGUAAAGAAGCACCGGCUAACUACGUG